GGGUCGUUAGCUCAGUUGGUAGAGCAGUUGGCUUUUAACCAAUUGGUCGUAGGUUCGAAUCCCACACGACCCACAA
Molecule: transfer RNA, 76 nt
Filed under: Pseudomonas amygdali pv. dendropanacis
Lineage: Bacteria; Pseudomonadati; Pseudomonadota; Gammaproteobacteria; Pseudomonadales; Pseudomonadaceae
Description: tRNA-Lys
Rfam family: tRNA
About the family: Transfer RNA (tRNA) molecules are approximately 80 nucleotides in length.
Source: RNAcentral